RNAcentral lists this long non-coding RNA (8386 nucleotides) under Triticum aestivum (bread wheat). RNAcentral describes it as "long non-coding RNA (TAES_LNC003580)". The record is from RNAcentral. Lineage: Eukaryota; Viridiplantae; Streptophyta; Magnoliopsida; Poales; Poaceae.
CAGUUUGCAGGUGCCUAUAUUACCGAGCAGGUGACGCAACCAAGCUCAAGGAGGAGCUCGAUGAAGAUCUUGCCCUUUGUGUUGUUUCGUUCUAGUUGAUCAGUAGUGGAGCCAGUUGGGGUCGAUCGGGGACCUUUGUCGCAUGUGGAGUUCUUCUUUUAUUUUGGUUCCCUAGUCGGACCUUGAUUGUAUCUGGAUGAUGUAAUGCUUUAUUCAUGUAAUUGUGUGAAGUGGCGAUUGUAAGCCAACUAUGUAUCUCUUUCCCUUAUGUAUUACAUGGGUUGUGUGAAGAUUACCUCAUUUGCGACAUUGCUUUCAAUGCGGUUAUGCCUCUAAGUCGUGCUUCGACACGUGGGAGAUAUAGCCGCAUCGAGGGCGUUACAAGUUGGUAAUCAGAGCCUUCCCCGACCUUAGGAGCCCCACUGCUUGAUCGUUUUUAGCGGCCGAGUUGUGUCUAGAAAAAUAUUUUGAGUCAUUUAGGAUUAUAUAUAUCGGAGAGUUAGGAAUUCUUUUUACUCCCCGGUCUCUUCAUCGCUCUAGUAAGGCAUCCUGACGUAGAGUUUUGACUCUUCUCUUCUCAAAUUUCACUAAAUUUUUUUUUAGGAUCACGCGGGUAUCUUGGAAUCGUUUCGAUGGUUUUAUGAUGAGAACAUUGUCUUGGUGCCUCCUGUCAGGGGUUUAGUGGAAGUGUCCCGGGGAGUUGAGCUCGGAGGUGUUGUCGUCAUAAUUUUAUCGUUGCAGUUCUGGAAUACCUGAGUUUAGUACGCCGACAUCGAAAAUCUCUUUUAUGCAGUUCGUUGGUGAGAUUACCCCGAUAACCCAGUACUGAGGUGAGUACGGGAGUAUUGCCAUAACUUGUAUAACGGAUGCUUUUCGAAGGUUGAGGUAGACGAUUUCCGAAGGUUUCUUGGUUAUGUGUUGAAGGAUGGAUACAGCUGGAUGUAGGAUUUGUUAGUUUGGGUGAGAUAUUAUGCUUCCCCUGUAUCCCCAACACCUGAUUGCAUAACCAGAAAAUUUCGGAGGUUUCGUAGGUGGGUAUUCAAGUAGCUCUUAGGAUAUCUUUCCGACAGAUGUAUGAUUUGAAAUUGGGGUUCGACGUCUAGUGGUCCGCCUAUUCACGGUUGGUUUUACAGUGGUCUCGUUGUGUCUUAAAGAGUCCUUGGCUAUGCCGACUCGGGGACGCUUCGUAUGUCAUGUGCACUGCCUUGUACAUGAUGGUGCUGUACGAUCGAGCCCGUGUAGGCCCUACCACGAAAACUUCGGACGAAAUCUCUAUCAUAUGUUUAUUCUGGCUUAUUUUGCAAGCCAAUCCUUUGUUUUGUUUUGAGUUGUGGUAUUCGAGUUGCUUCGAAGUCAAAUGUUGAUUCCAUACCUUUUCCAAAUGGUGUUCUCAUAUUCCUAUGUGAAUACUAAUCCUUCUUGAUCAUCGAGUCUGUCUUGUCAAUCCUUUUUCAACCGGUGUGUCUCUCCUCAAGUGGAUCCGUUCACGUCAACAUUUGCAAGAUCAUUUAUCCCUUCUUCUCAACGGUGUUUGUUUCAUCCGUAUCCAAGUUGCCUUUGUUUUUCCAGCCCACCCACCCUUUUUCCUCAAGGACUAAGAUUUCUUUACCAAGUAUCCUUUUAUUUUUGUGAAGUUUCUCCAUUCUUUUCCGUCAAUGUUCUUACCCGGUGGUUCUCAAGAAGAUGUUCUACUAGUUCGUCAUUCCUCAUUCCUUUCUCUUCUCCGGUGGAUUCAAGUCAAGUUUUGUUGAUCAUACCUUUUUCCUCAUUUCAAUGUCUUCUCAUACCGGUGCACCUCAUUAUCAUUCUACUUCUCGCUAUUUGUUAUUCCGGAGUGCUCAAGAUAUCUCGAAGAUUCGUGUUUCCACUCUGCAUUCGUUCAAGCUCUUUCGAGAUUGGUAUCUCAUUCAAGUCAUUUAAUUCAACCGGUGCAACAUCUCUUUUAAAUCUUUUCAACGGUGUUCUUUUUAGUGGGCCCUAACCCACAGGUCUUUUCCCAGGAUCUUACCUGACUCUUCUAUUUUCCCAGAGCUAUCCUAAAUUCUUCUCCAAGUUUGACGUAAGAAUGAGUUAUCAUCAGUCAAAUGCUUUUUCUCCAAGAUCUUUCAAAUUCUUUUCAUAGUUGGCUCAACCUCUUCGCUUUUGAUUCUUCUGGUGUGCCUCAAUAAUUCUUGGUGGUGUUUCUCGUUGUCAUUCUCAUCAUUUGAAGACCGAAGAAGAGUUUCUCUUUAAUCUUGCUCUAUUCUCUUCAAGAUUCAUGGUGCUAGCUUGUUGCCAUCCUCUCAUAAUUGUUUUCGAUUGUGAGAAUCUUUUUCACCCAUCAGGAGAUAUUCAAGAGUCUUCUCAGUUUGUCAUCCGGAGUCCAUCAAUUCAGGUUUAUUCAUUCUCAGCUGUCAGUUAUCAUUCUCCUAUCUUGCCGGUGCAUCAGUCGAAUAUCCUCUAAUCAGUUCUUGAUCUCUUUGUUCUCAUGUAUCUAGUUUGUCGCAAGCACCUUCGUUCAUUUGCUAAUUCUUACCGGUGAUGCACCCCUACUUCGAUCAUUUUCAAUUCUUAUGGUGGUUCUUUCAAGAUCUCUCUUCCUUGUUCAUCAAAUCAAUUCAUUUGUUGUUCCAAUCCUACCGGUGGUUCGUUGAAGACCUUCUCAAGUUUACGCUAUAUCUCUUUUAAUCCUUUCUACGAGAAUAAGUAGUAUGCCAAAUCCGUUGAUUGUCGUCAAUUUAAUUGGUGAAGGAUAAGCAUAACAUAAUUCUUAUUCUUGUUCAUCCAAGUGAUUAAUUCUUUAUUCCGGAGGACCUUAAAAUUCUCGGUUUCAUUUGUUUCAUCUUAUCUUUUUCCCGGAGUUCCAAGCUCUAAUUAUCACGGAGAUCCAUCUAAAUCAUUGCAAGGAUUCACCUUGUGUUUUCAAUUUCUCUUUCUUUUCAUUCCCUUUGUUUACCGGAGUUCUUCAUGGAGGUUCUACAUGAUGGUUCAUCAAGGAUUUAAUUCCCUUCUCAAAGUUUUCAUCGAGACUCUUUCCUAAAGAGCUCAAGCUUUCUUCAUAUGGUAAUCUGGAGUGCAAUUCUUUCUACCAUAUUUUGGAGGUGGUAUUAUGUCAUUCUUGAUAAUUUGAGUUCAUGUUCCAUGAUUCACAUGUUGUUAAGAAUGAGUUAUUUUUAAAUCCAUCAACCUCGUUGUUGGAGUUAUCUUGUGUCAUAUUUCACCUAAAAGCCUUCCAUUGGGAAUGUUGCUAUUUGUGGUGCUUGCCAAUGAUCCAAGUUAUCUCUUUAUCAUCUUGGUGGAAGAAGUUUUCAUCUCUUCGUUGAUCUCAAGCAAGCAAUUGUUUCCGUUAGUGGCCGGUUGUCACCUCAUAAUUUUGAGAUGUUUUCCAUAAGCCCACUACAAGCUUGUGCUUUUCGUUGUUGAUUUUCCAACAACUCCGUUCAAUUCUUCUUUGCAAGGAUGCUUUCCAAACUUAUUUGUGGCAGAAGUUGGCAUUUUCUUCUCCAUUCUGUUAUUCCAAUGAUAUAUCUUCUAUUAUUUCUUUCGGAGGCAUUGUGACGUUGCUCUUUUCACUCACCAUCUCGAUUCGUGAGGAUCGUGUUCUUUUCUUGCUUAUCCAUUUAACCGGAGUGUCGUGUUUUCAUUCGAGUUCUCUAAUCUUAUCAAGUUUUCCCUCCUUCCUCAACUGGAGAGCUGUCUGAAAUCCUUCUUACCCAUUGUGCCAUUCUUUCAAUAGUUCCGGAGGCAGUGUGUUGUUGAUUUCAUCAAGUAACAUCCCAUCUUCUCAAGUUCAUGUUCUAUUCCUUCCAUGUUCAACCGGAGUACUGCCCGAAUUCUUCCCCUCUCAUCUUGUUUUAACCGGAGUGGUUUCGAAUUCUAUCUUGUCCAUUAAACUCUUGAUUCAUGUCUUUGCAAACUUCAAGUUCUCGUAAUGUUCCUUGUUCCUCUUUCUAACGGAUUGUUUGCAAUCUCGUUCAUCUCCUUUGUAUUGUUUCUUUCAAUUUGUUCAACCUCUCAAGGUUCUUUGGUUUCACUCAUUGGUCAAAGAAGCAACUUAGUUUUACCUCUUCUCUUCCUCUUCCAUUUCUCUCCGGUGCCAUCCUAGAUCUCGGGACGAGAUCCUCUUGUAGUGGUGGAGUGUUGUAACGCCCCGAGACCGACGCUCCAGAAGACUUCCAGCUACUCCGAGUUUCGUCAUGUGAUUUGUUUUGUUUGUUGCAUCAUUUGCAUUGCAUCAUGCCAUCAUAUCAUUAAUUUUUAAAACCUCAACUAAAUAAAUUAUAUGGAUUUUUUUGAUCCAUUUAAAUCGAGGGACUCACAUGGUGACUUCUCUUUAUAACAUAUCCUCCAAUAUUAGGGAGCUAUAUUAAAUAUUCCACUAUUUUGGAAUCACCAAAACACACUUACAAAUAAUUUCGUUCCUUUUCUGCUUCAAGUUUGGUCUCCAACCUUGCCAAUAUUUAUUUCAUCAUUUUCCGGAGCUCCACCAAAAAUCCGAACAUUUUUGGACCUUCCUUUCAUCAAGUCCUAGUUCAAACCCAUUUGAAUUUCAAAUGAGUUUGAAUUUAAAUCUUUCGAUCAUGCCCACUUCUAUUUUUCCUGGAUCGAGCUCAUUUUUGUGAGUUCGGGAAAAUUGUCUCCAUGCGCAAAUCCUUUCCCAAACCCUCUCUUUCCUUUUCUUCUCUUUAAUUGUUUUCUGCUAAGAAAAUAUAAGAGAGAGAGAGAAGAGGGCCGCUUCCCCGCAGCCCAUUUGACCCAAGGCUAAGCCGGCCCAAGGCCCAGCCACGCCCCCCUCUAACCCUAGCCCGACUCCCUCCUGUCGAUCUCUCCGUCUGUGCCGCCGCCACACGCUCAUCGAUCGAUUCCCUCUCCUCGCGCCCGACCCCCAUCUCCUCGAGCAGCGCAUCACCGAUCCCCUCGCGUCCCUCGUCUCGAUCUCUCCCUCUCCCUCACUCGUGCCCCCAUCCUCACAGGGAGAGAGAGGAGCAGAGCCCUCGCGCGCGACCCCGCCGCCGAACCUUCUCCGCCUCGCGCCUCCACCUCCGUCGCCCUGCCUCGACGCCCGCACCUUCGCCGGCCUCGGCCUCCCGCGGCUGCCGCUGCUGGCCCCGCUGCCGAGCUCUCCACUGCGCCCGAACUCUCCCUCCACCCGCAGCGCCUGAACCCAUCGCCCCUCUCAGCCUCCUGCGCCCGUGCCCCUCCUCUGCCUCGUCUCUGUUUCCGGCCGUCGACAGCGAGCAGCUCCGUCGGAGCUCGUCCCCGAGCACGCCCAAUCUCCUCCCUCGCCUGUGGCCUCCUCCUCGUCGCCUCUGCGUGCGACCCUGCUCCCGCGCGCCUCCUCGCCCGCGCGACUCCUCCACCAAGCAGCCUGCCGUGCCCUGUCGGUCGCCUGACCGCCCCUUCCCUCGCCCGUCUCCGGCUAGGUCCGAGGUCUAGGGACCGGGUCCUCCUCAUCUCGGCCAUCCCCAUCGUCUGCCCCGCGCGCCGCCCUGUGGCUUCGCCUCCCGCAACCCCGCGGCGUCGCCUCGCCCUUGUCCCGCGUUGCCUCGGCCAGCCCUGUGCUGCUGUUUGCAUCCGCAAAGACCCGAGGCAUGAGUGUGCUCCACUGCUAGUUUCAUGGACGAAGAGUACCUCUACGAUGACCCUGGAUGUCUACGAGCGUCAAGUACCACUACAACCCAUGUUCGACUACGUGGAUUCGCCAAGUACCACGACGACCAUCGCUUGCCAAGAUCGACUACACGGUGAUGCGACAAGUACCUCUCUCGACGACCCUGGACGACUACAAAAACAUGUACCACUACCGUCGACCCUCGAAGACCCCGUGGACCCCGAACAUCUACGGAUCAUGAACACCUACUUCCACUAUGAGAUGUACCUCUACCGACGCCGCGAACGACUACUUCCCUCGACGACUCGAAUCGCUCUGAAAACGCACGCUUCGAAGGUAUAACCCCGAGACGCCGUCCGUGGACCGAAUGCAUGUGUUGUAUGAGAUGCACCCUAUGUUUGCACCGUGCCCGUUUGCUUCAUGCACGUUCCUCCUCGUUCGUCAUGCCGAUGAACCGUGGGAACCCGGUAACCGGGAUCACCCCACCAUCUCUAGCAUGUUCCGCACAUCCGCACGCCUCCUUUUGCACCGGUAUCUCCAUGAGUUACCGGGACCGGAAUGUUGCCGUGGCACCAUUUUUGUUUCGCCGCCGUGGCACCCUUUUUGUUCCGCCAUGGUGACCAAAUGCUUCAUAACAUGCUCAUGUCAACAUUUUCUUAAAAAAUUGCAUAAACCUUGUAUAUGUCAUCCGCAUCAUGAUAACAACAUUUAAAAUGUUUAAACUUGUUUUUGCAUUAAAUUGCUAAAUGCAUAUGGGGAUUUACCGGAUUUGUUGUUUUUAUAUCAGGCCCCAUUUAAAUUGUUUAGAUGGUGUAGUUUAAUUAUGUUUCACCCUCUUGCCAUGUUAACCAACAGUUAAUAUUGUUGGGUAGCUUAAACGAGAGAUAACUAAAUAAUUGAUGUGGUGUUCCGUCAACAUGCACCUCGUUGCAUAUUGAGCUCCACUUAACUUGUACUAUUGUUUGUUGCACUUUGCCAUGCCAUGCCUCAUUAAGCCGGCCAUGCAUCAUACUUGUUUGUGCAUCAUGACUUGUUUAUGCUUGUGUGUUUACUAUGUUGUUUGUUUCUUUCCGGGUUGCUUCUCUCGUUAGCUUCAGUUUCGUUCCGGAGUUGUGAGGAUUUGUUCGUCUACGACCGUUUGUCUUCUUCUUGGACUCGUUCUUCUUCCUUGCGGGAUCUCAGGCAAGAUGAUCAUACCCUCGAAAUCACCACUAUCUUUGCUAUGCUAGUUCGCUCGCUCUUUUGCCAUGCCAAUGCUACGAUGCCUACCAUUUGCUUGUCAGCCUCCCAAAUUGCCAUGUCAAACCUCUAACCCACCAUGUCCUAGCAAACCGUUGAUUGGCUAUGUUACCGCUUUGCUCAGCCCCUCUUAUAGCGUUGUUAGUUGCAGGUGAAGAUUGAAGUUUGUUCCUUGUUGGAACAUGGAGAUGUUGUUCCUUGUUGGAACAUGUUUACUUGUUGGGAUAUCACAAUAUAUCUUACUUAAUUAAUGCAUCUAUAUACUUGGUAAAGGGUGGAAGGCUCGGCCUUAUGCCUGGUGUUUUGUUCCACUCUUGCCGCCCUAGUUUCCGUCAUAUCGGUGUUAUGUUCCCGGAUUUUGCGUUCCUUACACGGUUGGGCUAUAAUGGGAACCCCUUGACAGUUCGCCUUAAGUAAAGAUCCUCCAGCAAUGCCCAACAUUGGUUUUAUCAUUUGCACUAACAACCUACCACCUUCCCUUGGGUUCUGCAGACUCAAGGGUCAUCUUUAUUCUAACCCCCCCGGGCCAGUGCUCCUCUGAGUGUUGGUCCGAACUGAACUGCCUGCGGGGCCACCUCGGGGAAACUUGAGGGUUGGUUUUACUCGUAGCUAGUCUCAUCUGAGUGUGCCCUGAGAAAGAGAUAUGUGCAGCUCCUAUCGGGAUUUGUCGGCACAUUCGGGCGGUGUUGCUGGUUUAGUUUUACCCUGUCGAAAUGUCUUGUUGUACCAGGAUACCGAGUCUGAUCGGAGUGUCUCGGGUGGAGGUCUAUUCCUUCGUUGACCGUGAGAGCUUGUCAUGGGCUAAGUUGGGACACCCCUGCAGGGUAUUAUCUUUCGAAAGUCGUGCCCGCGGUUAUGUGGCAGAUGGGAAUUUGUUAACAUCCGGUUGUAGAAAACCCGAAGCUGACCUUAAUUAAAAUACAUCAACCCUGUGUGUAACCGUGAUGGUCUCUUCUCGGCGGAGUCCAGGAAGUGAACACGGUGUUGGAGUUAUGCUUGACGUAGGUUGCUAUAGGAUCACUUCUUGAUCAUACUUUUAUCGAGCGUGCUUUGCCCUCUCUUCUCGCUCUCAGUUGCGAUUGUAGCCACCAUAUAUGCUAGUCGCUUGCUGCAGCUCCACCUCAUUACUCCAUCCUUCCUAUGAGCUUAAAUAGUCUUGAUCUCACGGGUGCGAGAUUGCUGAGUCCCCGUGGCUCACAGAUACUUUCAAAACCAGUUUGCAGGUGCCUAUGUUACCGAGCAGGUGACGCAACCAAGCUCAAGGAGGAGCUCGAUGAAGAUCUUGCCCUUUGUGUUGUUUCGUUCUAGUUGAUCAGUAGUGGAGCCCAGUUGGGGUCGAUCGGGGACCUUUGUCGCAUGUGGAGUUCUUCUUUUAUUUUGGUUCCGUAGUCGGACCUUGAUUGUAUCUGGAUGAUGUAAUGCUUUAUUCAUGUAAUUGUGUGAAGUGGCGAUUGUAAGCCAACUAUGUAUCUCUUUCCCUUAUGUAUUACAUGGGUUGUGUGAAGAUUACCUCACUUGCGACAUUGCUUUCAAUGCGGUUAUGCCUCUAAGUCGUGC